GACGAACGCUGGCGGCGUGCUUAACACAUGCAAGUCGAACGGAAAGGCCCUGCUUGCAGGGUACUCGAGUGGCGAACGGGUGAGUAACACGUGGGUGAUCUGCCCUGCACUUCGGGAUAAGCUUGGGAAACUGGGUCUAAUACCGGAUAGGAGCCAUCUUUAGUGUGGUGGUUGGAAAGUUUUUUCGGUGUAGGAUGAGCUCGCGGCCUAUCAGCUUGUUGGUGGGGUAAUGGCCUACCAAGGCGGCGACGGGUAGCCGGCCUGAGAGGGUGUACGGCCACAUUGGGACUGAGAUACGGCCCAGACUCCUACGGGAGGCAGCAAUGGGGAAUAUUGCACAAUGGGCGCAAGCCUGAUGCAGCGACGCCGCGUGGGGGAUGAAGGCCUUCGGGUUGUAAACUCCUUUCGCUAGGGACGAAGCUUUUUUGUGACGGUACCUAGAUAAGAAGCACCGGCUAACUACGUG
This 466-nucleotide ribosomal RNA is filed under the name uncultured bacterium. RNAcentral describes it as "partial 16S ribosomal RNA". It matches the Rfam family "Bacterial small subunit ribosomal RNA", at positions 28 to 507 of the family's 1533-position model. The record is from RNAcentral.